Molecule: non-coding RNA, 15918 nt
Organism: Callithrix jacchus (white-tufted-ear marmoset)
Lineage: Eukaryota; Metazoa; Chordata; Mammalia; Primates; Cebidae
Source: RefSeq, a predicted model, not a curated record
GGCCGUCGGGAUCUGGGCGUUUGUCUGCAGCGGACGCCAGCCGCGGAGAGCGACCCUGGAGGGGCGCUAGGGAAGGGGGCGGGGUCGGGGCGUGGGGCGGGAGCUUCGCUGCCUGCUUGGGGCUCGCGAGGAGCUGGAGGGAGGGGGUGGCGGGUGGGUAGCUGCGGCCGGGUUUGCGUUUCGGCCCAGAGGAGUGGACUUGAAAGCGCGCUCCGGGUUGUAGGAGGCCUUAGCCAGGAGCGAGUCUAGUCCUGCGUCCUGCAGUUAGGUUUGCUAAAGAUUUGGAGAUGGGCAGGCGACGCAGCCCGGUGUCCAGAGCGCGGGAGGUCACAGCGGGCAGAGGACACAGGGUGCAGGGCGCGGCGCGGGGUGGAGGCUGCAGAGCGGAAGGCGCCGGGCACAGAGCGCUGUGCGCAUGGCGAGGACGCGACCCGCGACGGGGGCUCUGGAGGAGCUGGCCGGGCCCAGCCUGCGGGAGCGGCCUCCCCGGAGUGUGGAGGUCCCGGAGGACGCGAGGGACGCCCGCAAGGCGGGAGGUCGUCCGGGACCCGCGUCCCUGGAGGCUCUGAGCCGCCGGGGAGACCCCAGGCCGGGCUGCAGCGCCUUCCUCCUGCAGGGCAAGCCCGACCUGAACACGGCGCUGUCAGUGCGACAGACGGCGUCCAUCUUCAAGCAGCCGGUGACCAAGAUUACCAGUCACCCCAGCAACAAGGUCAAGAGCAACCCUCAGAAGGCGGUGGACCAGCCGCGCCAGGGGUGGGAUCCGGCUGCACAGAUGAGACGCUGCUGUCGGCCAUCGCCAGCGCCCUGCAUACCAGUACCAUGCCCAUCACCAGGCAGCUGUCGGCCACCGUGGAGAAGAACCUCGGCGUGUGGCUCAACACCACGCAGCCCCCGUGCAAAGCCUUCAUGGUGACAGAGGAGGACUUCAGGAAGCAGGAGGAGCUAGUGCAGCAGGUGUCGAAGCGGCUGGAGGAGGAGCUGAUGGUCGACAUGCUGGCGCACGUGGAGGAGCUGUUGUGAGACGGCGAGGCACCACUGGACAAGGCCUGCACCGAGAAUGACGACCAGGAGGAGGAGGAGCCCGAGGAGCCGGACCCGACCCGGCCCCGGGGAUAGAGCAUGUCUAGGGCAGGUGUUGCGGACUGUGGGGGCUGCCUGGAGUCGCCCUGCACUGGGGCUGCCUGUCACGCAUGGAGUGCUCCGUCUCCCUGGAAGAGCCCAGGCGUCCCCAUCCUGUGGAGUCGCUAAAGCCAGCCCUCCCUGUCCUUUCAGAAGCCCUGCCGAGAGCCUGUGCCGUGAGAGCCGCCUGCAGUUGUGGCCCUCGGCCCCACAUGGACCAGGCUCGGGGCCCUGGAGACGCCUGUGAGGAAUGCUGUGCUCCUGGCUCCCGCCUUGGCCUUCUUCCCUUCUCCGUGCCUCGGGGCACACAGCUGGGGCUGCCCCACCCAAAAGACCCUCCCUGCUCAUCCUCUAAAGAGCCCAGGUCCUGCCUGGUUCCCCAUGACCUUGGGGCUUGAGGCCAGCUUCUCCCACGGCUGCUGCCCCCAGCUUUUUGAUACUGGAGAGCAGCCAGCAGGUGCCCGGCGGCUUGGCACCAAGGAGCGCGGACUCCUGGGAGGGUUUCUCAGUCUGAAGGCGUUUUCAAAAUGCACAUCACCCACUGUGUGGCAGGAGGACGGGACUCUGGUCCUCCAUAGGGGACGUCCAGGAUGGUGCCACCCUCUGCCCUGCCAUGCAGCUGGCGGCACCACAGAUGCUCACAGGCCAAAUGGCACGCCCGGGAGGCCAUGCUCCUUCAGUCAAUCUGUGACCGUCAAGGCUGGAUGUGCACAUCACCAGGCGGCCUCUGCUGCCGCGGGGACACCAGCUGCUGCCAGAAUGAUGUCAGCCAGCCCCCUGCCUCAGUUUCCCUUUUGUAUAGUGGGAACACAGGCACCCAGCUUUGGGGUGGUACUGACACUCCCAGAAGUGUCAGGAGCCACUUGGACAGCACAAGUCUCCCAGAUGCUUCUUGAGUUGCCCAGGUGUCUGGGGAGCUUCUGGUCUGAGGCUGUUUGAAGGAUCUGAUGUGCUCCUGAUACCCCAGUGCCUCGGUGAGGUCAGGUUCCAGGAAGCGGCGGCCUGAACCCUGGGCUCCUACGGGGGGGGUUCAUUACCUGCAUUGACCUUAGGCCCAUCGAGAGGGCCUGUCCUGCCUCUGCCCCACCUGGGAUCUGGGAUCUGGUCACUGCCUGGGGCAGACUGAUGAGCAGAGUCACCUCUGUGGCUGGGCCGUGACCCCUGAUGGUGCCAGGCUGUGGGGCCAAGGAAGUGCCACUCGGGAGCCAGGCUCUCCACUCGGCCAGGUGCCCUGCAAGGACAGCCACAGGGCAGUGGACUGGCAGCAGCUUCUUGCUCCCUGUCGCAGUCAAAGCACAAAUUUUCGGGGUGGGCUCAAGGGCUGGGCCCCCGAGGGACCCUCCGGGUGGGGACCGAGUCUUCCUGGGGUCGGUGCCAUCUGGCCAGGACCCUGUGCCAGCCCGAGGUUCCCAGACGCUGUGGUGGGGUGGCCUCCCCUCUGUCUGCAUGGUGGAGGGAGCUGUGGGUGUGGGCACGUGACUGAAUAAAGCCACCAUGGGAUGUGCAAAAAAAAAAAAAGAUUUGGAAAUCAGAAGGUAAUGUGAUUCUUCCAUGUGACUACACUUUGAUUUUGCAGUUUCACACGCUUUUGCAGAUUACAGUCCGAGAUUGGGAGUUUUGAGGGCAGUUUCCACCUUAAGUGGCCUUUUUCGGUGGUAAAACCAACAGGUUCGCGGAGACUGUAGGGGUAUGUAAGCAGCAACUCAAAAAUUAUUUUAUUGGUAAUGAUAUUGGGAAGCAUUACGUCUAGAAGACCAUCAGAGGUAAAACAUUUGUUAGGAUUGGAGUGAGAAUCUUGCUAAUGGAAUUGUGUGCCUUUAGGAAAAGAUGGCGUAGUUGAAGCCAGCUUUCUACAGGGGAAUGUCCUGUUGCAGUUCUGGGUCAGUGGUGUCCGGAUGGGGAUGUGACGGGCGCCCAAGAUCCAUUUCUACUUCGGAAGAAGUGGGGAAUGCCCCACUUGUUCUCUCCCUCCUCUUUUCCUUUUUCCCUUCCAUCCCUCCCUCUCCCUUUCUUCUUCCCCCCUCUGGUAUUUUUGAACCAUACUGAAGGAGUCAAGUUUAAACCACCGUUAACUAGCUUUGCCUAAUUUCCUAAAGGAAAGAAUUUUUUUUUUUUUUUUUACACUACAUAUGGCUCUGAUUAAUCUUUUAAUUUGAGAUGUUAGUUGCUUAGUUUGAAAACUGUUGAACCACAUCUAUGGUAUUCACCAGUUAGAAGUUGAGCUGUAGAUGGGCAGUGAAAAAUGUUCUUUUGAAAAUUCAGGUGGGGGGCUGCUGCAGUGCCAGUUGACAGUGUGCCAGCAAGGAGCCCUUAAGGCCUCCUCGCUUUUUCCUCUGACUCGGGGGACUUGAAAUUCCGGUAUCACUUCAUGUACGGUGUAACUACAUUUCUAGCACUGUCUAGUGGCCAAGUUAAGGAAGAGUUGGUUUGAGAAAUAUUGAACAAUCUGCAUAGACUUCUCAUCAGAUCUGUAAGCUGAGGACAUUUAAUUAAAAAUUAGUUUUUGGGUCGGGCGCGGUGGCUCAAGCCUGUAAUCCCAGCACUUCGGGAGGCCGAGGCAGGUGGAUCACAAAGUCAAGAGAUUGAGACCGUCUUGGUCAACGUGGUGAAACCCCGUCUCUACUAAAAAUACAAAAAAAUUAGCUGGGUGUGGUGGCGCAUGCCUGUAAUCCCAGCUACUCAGGAGGCUGAGGCAGGAGAAUUGCCUGAACCCAGGAGGCGGAGGUUGCGGUGAGCCGAGAUCGCGCCAUUGCACUCCAGUCUGGGUAGCAAGAGUGAAACUCCGUCUCAAAAAAAAAAAAAUUAGUUUUUAUAGAGACAGAGCUUUGCUCUGUUACCCAGGCUGAAAGUGCAGUGGUCUGAUCAGAGGUCACUGCAGCCUCAGACUCCUGGACUCCAGCCUCUCCCAAGUAGUAGGGACUACAGGUGUCUGCCACUAUGCCCGGCCAAUAUUUUUCUACUUUUUGUAGAGACGGUGUCUUGCUAUGUUGCACAGGCUGCUCUGGAACUCCUGGCCUCAUGCCAUCCUCCUGUCUCCCAAACAGCUGGGAUUACAGGCCAGAGCUACUUGAGCUCAGCCAUAUUUUGGUUUUAAUGAUACGAACUUGACUAUAAAAGUACUUCAACUCAGCUGACGAUUGUGCCACUGUACUCCAGCUUGAGCAACAAAACCUAUCUCAAAACAACAGACUUCAAUUUAAAUUAUAAUCUUUGUGCACACAAAAAGGUGCUUUUUGAGAUUGACAUCUCAGGUACAGUUAGUUUUAACUACAGAAAUGAAUCCCUGAGUGAAUAACAAUUAUAAGUUUUGUUAUCUGAGGGCAGGUGGGUUACAGAUUUUGUAUCCAAACUUUGAUUCGUCUUUUAAUAGGCAGAAAAUGACAAAAACAUGAUCAGGCUUACAUUUCUGUCCAAAAUAAGCUUGAAUUGCAGUAAAACUCUUGUGUGGCUGACUAUAAUAUUUUCAUGAUUUAGGACUGGCACAACCACAGACUCUCCUUUGUGUUUUGUGUGUGUUAAAUAUAACAUUUCUUACCACUUCAGGGUUUGUCCAUAAAGAUAGGAACUGGUAGGAAGUGAUUAUGAUUUAAUGUUCUACAUUAUAUUUUGAAUAUAGACACUUUGGAGAAUAGGUAAUGUUUUUAAAAUCGUUUUUCUUGGAAUCUAAAAUUUUACAGCACUGUGUCCUCAAAACACAUUAUUAUUAUAUUAUUAUUAUUAUUUUUGAGGCAGGGUCUGGCUCUGUCACCCAGGCUGGAGUGCAGUGGCGUGAUCAUGGCUCACUGCAGCCUCAAUUUUCUGGGCUCCAGUGAUCCUCCUGCCUCAGCCUCCCAAGUAGCAGGUACUACAGGCAUGCGCCACCACACCUGGCUAAUUUUUGUAUUUUUGGCAGCGAUGAGUUUCACCAUGUUGCCCAGGUUGGUCUUGAACUUGUGAGCUAAACAAUCCUCUCACCUUGGCCUCCAAAAGUCCUGGGAUGAGAGGCAUGAGCCACCCCUCCGAGCCAUCCAACAAUGACUCAGUCUUUACCGGCUCAGCCAGGUCCUGGGAUGGUGGUAAGCACAUUGUAGAGCGCUCUCAUCACUUGUUUUUAUUUAUUUAUUUAUAUAUUUUUUUGAGACGGAGUCGCUCGUUACCCAGGCUGGAGUGCAAUGGCGUGAUCUUGGCUCACUGCAACCUCUGCCUCCUGGCUUCAGGCAAUUCUCCUGCCUCUGCCUCCUGAGUAGCUGGGACUACAGGCGUGCGCCACCAUGCCCAGCUACGUUUUUUUGUAUUUUAGAGACCACCUUGUUGACCAGGAUGGUCUCGAUUUCUUGACCUCGUGAUCCACCUGCCUCGGCCUCCCAAAGUGCUGGGAUUACAGGCGUGAGCCACUGCGCCUGGCCACUUGUUUUUAUUUUAAUGUUCUUAGUCUAGCUCAUUUUUGUGAUAAUGUGCUAUUUUAGUUUAUUAUUAUUUAUUUUUAAAAGAUAGGUUGGGCGCUGUGGCUUACGCCUGUAAUCCCAGCACUUUAGGAGGCCAAGGCAAGAGGAUUGCUUAGCUCAGAAAUUCAAGACCAGCCUGGGUAACAUGGUGAAACUCAUCGCUACCAAAAAUACAACACUUAGCUGGGCAUGGUGGCAUGCACUUGUAAUCCCAGCUACUCGGAAGGCUGAGGCAGGAGAAUUGCUUGAAGUAGGACCUGGGAGGUGGAGGUUGCAGUGAGCCGAGAUCGCGCCACUGUGCUCCAGCCUGUGCUACAGAGCGACACUCCGUCUCAAAAUAAAUACAUAAAUAAAGACUAGGUUUCCCUGUGUUGCCCAGGCUGGUGUGGAACUUUUGGCUUAAGGAGAUCCGCCUUGGUCUCUCACAGGGCUGGAAUGGUACAUGCUAUUUUUAAAGUAGACUUUCAAACUUUGUUUCUUUGAGGAAUUUGCUUUUUUUUUUUUUUUAAUUUUUUAAAUUUUUUUAUUUUUAUUUUUUUUGAAAUAUAAUUUUACUUUUUAUUUUUACAAUACAGUGUAUAGUAUGACAUCUCGAAAUAACAGAGUGCAGAUACAGGAUAAGAGUACAAAAGGGCAUUAACAGAUGUCAGAAGGUUACCUCUAUUAAGGCUAAAUCCCUGCUUUAUAUUUUCCACACAUUCACAAAAGUACAUUCAAAUCAUUCCUUAUCAAUACUUACUUUCUUAGGCCAUGAGAAAAGGAAAAUCCAGACAUUAGAUUUUCAUAGAAAGCAAAUCUGGAUUAGUCUGAAUAAUAUUCUCUUUCCAUUUGUUCUGACUUAGGAAAAUUUGAGAAAUAAAGAUAUGCACCAACCUAAUACUUCCUCAUUUGGAUUUUCCAAAUACAUUGCAUUAGCUAUUGAUAUCAUUUCUAUAUUAACUGGUUAAGACCUCCCCCACACGGGUUUCCAGUCAGAACCAUAGAGGUACAGGAAAUGGAAUUGGCCAGAGGAGGAAUUUGCUUUUUACUUUAUAGUGAACUGGAUCUUUCAAAUCAUCACAACAAAACAUUACACCAUUCAUACUAGGUGGGGUCUAAGUAAAAGGUCUAAAAUGUAAACAUUUUUCUGUUAAUGUUUUAAUUUUGAGAUCAUUGUAGAGUGACAUACUGGUGUAAGAAAUAAUAAUCUUGUGUAUCUUUCCCUAGUCCCCCAAGGGUAACUUCUUGCAGAAAUGGAGUACAGUUAUCACCAGGAUAUUGAUAUUGGUACAGUCUAUCUUUGAUGCAAUCCACGGUCUCAUUCAGAUUUCCCUGCUUUUAUUUCUGCUCAUUUGUGUGUGUGUUUAGUUAACUACAUGGCAUAUUUUAUUCAGAACUUACUGGUUUUUUCCUAAUGUCCUUAUUCUGUCUCAGAAUCCCACAUGACUUUGAGUCUUCAUGUCCCCUUGGCUCCUCUAGACAGUGACAGUUUCUCAGGCUGUCCUUUUUGGUGACCUUGAGAGUUUUGAGGAAUACUGGUCAUGUGAUUUGUAGAAUUCCCUAUUUUGGUUUUCUGGUGUUUUUCUCAUGAUUCAGCUGUGGUUAUGGGUUUUGGGAAGGAAAACCACAGAGGUUAAGUGCUCUUCUCAUCCUCUCAUAUUAAGGGUGAUGCUGUCAAGAUGUCUCGGGUUGCUGGGCUUGACUGCAUGGCUGAGGUCAUAUUUGCCAGGUUUCUCCACUGUGGAGUGACUCUUUCCCUCCUUUAUGUACUGUUCGUUUUGGAAGGAAGUCACUCUGGACAGGUGCCCUACUGGCAUGGGGAGUUCUGUUCCUCUUCCUGGAGGGUGGAGUAGCUGCAUAAAAUAUUUGGAAUGUUUCUGUAUGGAAGAUUUGCUGAUCCUUACUCAUUUGUAUGUUUAUUCAGUUACUCCUAUCAACAUGGACUUGCAGAUAUUGAGUGUAUGCUUUGGGUUAUCAUCUAGUGCUGUGUGGUUUGUUUCGUUGCCCCUGUCAUCUGGCUGUGUCCACUGGGAGCUCUUUCAGCUGACUCCUGUGUUCCUUUCACAUAGUCACAUUAUUAUUUGUUUGCUGUUUUUGAGCACUUCCUUACAUUCUGGUACUACAUGAUGUUCUGGGAUCACGUAUGUGUUUUCUGCCCCAGGCUUAGACUCCAGCAUUUCUCCAAGGAUCCCCAGUUCGUUUUAUGGGAGAAUGGAAUUAGAAACCAAGAUCUGGGCACUGGUGUGCUCAUUAUUACUGGGAUAUCAUGGCAUCUUGGCCCCCUCAGGGGACAGAGUUGGGAAAACAGGUGUGUAUAUACAAAUGCGUGUAUAUACACAUCUGUGAUUAUUUUGAUAUAUAUCCAUCUGCAUCCAUAUUAAGCUCUACACUCAUUUACGUUGAAGUCUCCAACUCUAAUCCAGCUCUAUCGGGAUUAUUCUAGCCUUCCCCUCCAGUUUAUCUGUAAUUUCUCUGUCUGACAGAGAAAAUCCUGGCUCCCGCUAUCCACGGUCCAUUUACUUAUUUGCUCUGCUUUGGUAUACCUGAAUAGAGGUUUCAGAAUUGUUGUCCUGUACUCUUUGAAUGACUUGACCCCUUAGAGUACAGCACUCAGGUACAGUUCCUUUCACUUUGAGUCUUACAUUCUCCCCUCAUUUCCACAUUACUUAGGUGCUUCUCUCCCCACCCCUCUGUGGAGUUGAGUCCUGUAUGUGUAAUUCAAUUGGUUUCUUCUGCCUCAGCCUGCAUUCCAUAGGGCCUCAUUAAUUAUUUUUAAAAUUACAUAGAUUAAUGUUUGCUCUUUGCGCUGUAAAGUUCAGUAGAUUUGACAGAGGCAUCCACAACUACAGUACCGUACAGAACAGUCGCACUGCCCCCAAAAUCCCUGCGCCUCACCUCCUAAGCUCUCCACAACUACCAGUCUCUUCUCCAUCUCUUGAGAUUUUCCCCAUUUUAGAAUGUCAUGUAUUUGGGUUCAUGCAGUCUACAGCUUUUUCAGACUGGCUUCUUCUGUCUAGCAGUGUUCAUUGAGUGGAUUGAGAGUUCAUUUCUUUUUAUUUUUUGAUGUUAUUUACCAUGUGGCUAUACUGAUAAGUGGUUUAAGUCUCUUACUUUGUAGCUUCUCUUUUCAUUCCUUUUUGCCAUUUUUUUUAGUUCUACUUUAUCUGUUGAAGAACUUGGGCCUUUUGACUUGUUGACUUUCCUAUAGUCUGGAUUUUGCUGAUUGCAUACUCCACAGUGCAAGUUCAAAGUGGGUGUUUUUGGUUCUACUUCCUACAGAUUGGUAGCAGGAUCUUCUAUCAAGGCUUUUUCUUUAUUUAGCACACAGACUCGAUCACAUCAGUAUCAAGUGGAUGGAAGCUUAGGUAGGAAGUAAACUCAGUUUUCAGGGGUUAAAAUGACCCGCCUUGUGGAUAUAUGAGUCAUCUACUUGCCUCUUGUUUUAUGUUGGCCAAUACCUGUAGCAGAGGGUGCUGAAGAGUAGAAAUUGAGAGAGAAUUGAGUUUGAGUUUUAUUAUUACAUGUUAGCAGCUCUGGUAAGAAACUCUAGGAACUAAGUGGGCAUGACAGAUGAAAAUGAGGCUUUAGGAUAAUGUGAUUGCUCCCCAUUCAUGUGUAAUUGACAGUCGGGGUGAGAUGAGCUCGAUUUAAAGAAAGAUGAACCUAAGACAGUAACAGAAGGAUUUUGCCCCAGCCUGCCUCUGCCCAAGCAUGUGUCCCUUGGCAGCUCCCAGCAUCUCUUGGGCUUCCUCAUUUUCCAUUUAUGAUAAUAUAGUACUUACCCCCAUCUUUGAGGGAUACAUUCCACGACCCCCAGUAGAUGCCUGAAACCACAGAUAAUACUGAACCCUAUAUAUACUAUGUGCAAACUUUUUUUUCCUUCAUAAUUUCAUGGAUAGAUUUGUUCUGACUGUAGGUCUUAGCAGCCUCAUCAUUUGAUACUGUUUUCUUAUUCAGUCAAGAAUUUUCAGGUUUUCACGUGAAAGAAGCUCUUUAUGGCUUUUCUUUGGCAUAUCGAAAUUGCAGCAUUAGUACUCUGAGCUUUGGGGUCAUAUUAAGUCAAAUAAAAGUGGCUGGAACACAAGCCACUGCAACAGAUGAUGUGAUCAGCAAGGCGACUACCAAGUGACUAAUGGGCAGGUGGCCUAAACGGCAUGGAGAAGCUGGACAAAGGGAUGGUCACGGGACAGAGCGGGAUGUCACUCAGUUUCAUCCUGCUUCUCAGAAUGACGGGCAGUUUAAAGCUUAUGAAAUAUUUUUGGCAUUUCCAUGAGGUUCACUUUGGGUAACUGAAACCACAGCAGGCGAAACUGUAGUUAAGGAAGGACUGCUGUGAUGUUUUAUAUUUCAUACAUAAUUUCAUUCUGAUUUUGGUACAUGGGUAGGCCUGGCAAGUAAGUCUCCGACCUGCCCAAGGACACCACCGGUAACUGCUGGGUCCAGGCCUUGAAACGAGGUCAGUCUGAGGUCUUGCCCUUGCUGAAUGAAAUUACCCCUUCUGUAGAUUGAAAGGUCUGGAGUCGCUGUACCCUUAGAUUGAUUUUAGUACCUUUAUUUAUUUAUUUAUUUAUUUAUUUUUUUUGAGAAGGAGUUUCGCUCUUGUGACCCAGGCUGGAGUGCAAUGGCACGAUCUUGGCUCACUGCAACCUCUGCCUCCUGGGUUCAGGCAAUUCUCCUGCCUCAGCCUCCCGAGUAGCUGGGAUUACAGGCACGCAACACCAUGCCCAGCUAAUUUUUUGUAUUUUUAGUAGAGACGGGGUUUCACCAUGUUGACCUGGAUGGUCUCAAUCUCUUGACCUUGUGAUCCACCCGCCUCGGCCUCCCAAAGUGCUGGGAUUACAAGUGUAAGCCACCGCGCCCGGCCCGAUUUUAGUACCUUUAGAUUGAGAUUGAGAGGCUUGAGUCUGGAUGCUGAGGUGUCUGAGGUUGGGGAACUUAAUUUGAGAAAAUUACCUAAUUUUGAAGUCUUUAGCUUUUUAGUGCCAUAUUUUUUCAUAUAAAGGAUAGAAUAUUUAGGCUGGGCGCCGUGGCUCACACCUGUAAUCCCUGCACUUUGGGAGGCCGAGGUGGGUGGAUCAUGAGAUCGAGAUCCAGACCAUCCUGGCCAACAUGGUGAAACCCCAUCUCCACUAAAAAUACAAAAAUUAGCUGAACAUGGUGGUACAUGCCUGUUAUCCCAGCUCCUUGGAGGCCGAGGCAGGAGAAUCGAUUGAACCUGGGAGGCAGAGGUUGCAGUGAGCUGAGAUUGUGUCACUGAACUUCCAGCCUGGUGAGACCCUGUCUCCAAAAAAAAAAAGAAUACUUACACAUGUCCCUUCACUUACGUGUUUCAACCCUUGAAAAAGUCACUGAAGAGAAUGCACAAGAAUUAAACUUACCUUCCUAAGAUACUCAGGUUCCAGACCAGUAGGAAGUCAUGAGUAAUGUGUUAAAAGUGCACUAGCUCCUAAGGUGCUGUGUCACAUUUGCACACUUUUUAAAAUCUGGACUCAAAAUUCAAUGUACUGAUGAGCCAUCUGUAGGGUAAGCCCUCAUGGGGGUUGAGUACAAGGGCUGUGCCCCUCUUGCUCCUCCCCAUCCUUCUUGGGGUGGGAGGCAGUGUAAGGAGAUAAGAGAAAUAGGAUAUUCAGAGGAAUAUUCUUUUUUUUUUUGAGACGGAGUUUCACUCUUGUCACCAGGCUGGAGUGCAAUGGUGCGAUCUCGGCUCACUGCAACCUCUGCCUCCUGGGUUCAGGCAAUUAUUCUGCCUCAGCCUCCUGAGUAGCUGGGAUUACAGGCACGCGCCACCGUGCCCGGCCAGGAAUAUUCUUAAUAUUGGGACUGAAUUAAUGGAUUUGGCAGGGUGUUUCUCUCAACAACAAUUUGUUUAAAUUACUAAUCCUUCUUCUAAUUCCUGUCACAUACAAAUCCUAGUUAUGUUUCAGGAUUUACUGGCAGUCUAUGGAAGCUACUUGAAUUAAUUUAUAGGAGAAAGGGAUUUAAUUCAGAAGUCAUUGCAAGGGAUAUGGGAGUAGUAGAUUCUAGGUUGAGUUUCUAGGAAAACACACCAGCCUGGGGAAUCCUGCCCCUUCAGCCCAGCACACCAGGAACUAGUGUGCUGGGCUGCUUAAACAGGCCACACCUUCAGGGUUCAUGCCAGCAUGUGGAUGCCCCACUGGACCUCUCUCUUUGGCUUACUCACCAACCCUAUGGUCUGCAAAUGUGUCCUAAGACAUGUUUGGAACCUGAGCCACAAGGGUGCCUAGGGAAUGCAUUUUCAACUAUUUUUUUUUUUUUCAAAGACAGGUCUGGUUCUGUUGCGCAGGCUAGAGGGCAGUGAUGCGAUCUUGGCUCACUGCAGCCUUGACCUCCCCAACUCAAAGGAUCCUGAGUUGCUGGGACUACAGGUGUGCCUCACUAUGCCCAGCUAAGUUUUGCAUUUUUUGUAGAGAUGAGGUUUCAUUAUUUUGCCCAGGCUGGUCUUGAACUCCUGGCUUCAAGCAGUCCUCCCACCUCGGCCUCUCAAAGUGGUGCUGGAUUUUUGGCAUGAGCCACCAUGCCUGGCUGUGUUUUCUACUUUAGUGUCUUGAAGAGAGUUAGAAUAAAAAUGAAUGUGAGUCCCAUGUGAGUGCCCAGGGCUGCUGUAACAAACUACCACACAUGGAGUGACUUAGAGCAACAGAAAUUUCAUCUCAAAUUCUGUGACUGGACGUCCAAAAUAAAGCUUGCCGGGUAGUUCCCCCCCAGAGGCUCUUCCUGGCCUCCUCUAGACGCUGGAAGACUUGUGCUGCCUCCCUCCUGUGUCUGCCUCUAUUAAAUUUCAAUCUGAUGCAGUAUUAAUGGACUCACCAUUGCACAGUGCAAGUUGGGGAGAAAUAAAAUAACAGUCAUGGCAUUGUUAAUAACAGGAUACAUUCUGAGAAAUGCAUUGUUAGGCAAUUUCAUCCUUGUACGAACAUCAUAGAGUGACGUAGCACAAAGCUAGACAGUACAGCCUACUGCACACCCAGGCUGUGUGAUGGAACCUGUUGCUCCUCAGCCGCAGGCCUAUACAGCACGUACUGUACUGGACACUAUAGGCAAUUGAAACACAAUGGUGAGCAUUUGUGUGUCUGUAGCCAAACAUAGAAAAGAUAGAGUAAAAAUAUGCUAUUGUAAUCUUCCAGGACCACCAUCGUACGUGCAGCCUGUCAUUCACUGCAACACUGCUAUGUGGUGCGUGACUAGACAAGACAUAAGAUAAAGGCUUUAUCAGUAUGUCAGGGACAACCGUGUUCUGUAUUUAGUACCAGUUGCCUUGUUGGUUGGCCACUUGAAUCAUGGAGAAGCUGUCUCUUAGCUGUGUUGGCUCCAUAAGGCCUGUAAAAUGUGACUUCCAUGGUGAUUGGUUAACCUGUGCAGGGGAGCAUCCUAGGUUGUGUAGCAGAGAGAAUAUAAAGGAGUGUAGCACAGCAGGGGCUUCUUGUGUUUAGCUCAGUUUGGUUCAGUUCUGAGAUUCAUCUACGCCACUAAGUAUAUCAUAGGUUCCUUUCUGUUGCUGUGUAGUGCUCUAUUGAAUUAACUGUACUAUAGUUUUGUUUUGUUUUUUUACUAGUAAUGAACAUUUUUAUUUUCAGUGUUGAGGUAUUGCAAAUAAUAAUGGUACAAAAGUCCUUGUAUGUGUCUCGUUGCAUAUAAACCUAUGAGUUGAAUGGUUGGGCUGCAGGGUAUGUAUGCUCAAUUUAAUGUCUCCUAUCAGUUUAUUUUGAAAAUAAACCUACAACAAAUAGCAAGAAUGCCAAAAUUAAUAUCAUACAUUUAUAUGAAUUCAUUAAUUUUAGCUUCUUACUCGCUGGUUUUAUGUCUGCACCUUUUUCUGAAUCAUCUGAGGGCCGGUUGUGGGCAUCAUGACAGUUUACCUCCUGGGAUAGUCAUCACAGUCAGAGCUUAAUUUUUCAAAUCGUAUUAGCUAACAUAUUGUCCAGAUUUAAAUACCUGAAUUGUCCUGAUGAUAUGCUUUAUGCUUUUAAAUAUUUGCAUACAGGAUUCAAUUCAGGAUCAUGGACUGCAUUUGUUUUCAUGUGUCUUUAGAUUUGGUUCAUCUAGAAAUUCCUAGCCUAUUUUUCUUUCAUUACGUGAAUAUUUUUGAAGAGCUCAGGUCAGUCAUUUUGCAGAAGUCCUUCAGUUUGUACAUGCCUCCUCCUUCUCAGGAGCAGGUUACAGAUGGACCGUGUUGGUCGGAGUACUCCACAGGUGCUGCCGUGCCAUCCUCUGUACCUGCCCGCUCCAUGGCGGGGGUGAGUUUGCUUAGGGUGGCAUUGGCCAGAGUUCUCUGUUGCAGAGGUAAUCUUUUCCUGUUUAAUUGACUGAAGUCGUCUCUGGGGUGGUAGUCUGUAACUGUAGGUAUUCAGUGCCUCAGUACACAAGUAUACAUGCGUGCGUGCAUACAUGCAUGUACAAGCAGCCUGAGUUCUGCCUCUGUGGGUUCAGUCAACCACAAAUCAAAGAUGCUUGGGGGAGAAAAGGGAUGGCUGAAUCAGUACUGAACAUGUACAGACUUUUCUCAUCUCAUUAUUCCUGAAACAAUACACUAUAACCACUGUUUGCAUAGCAUCUGCUUUGUAUUAGGUAUUAUAAGUAAUCUAGAGAUGAUUGAAAGUUUAUGGUAGGAUGUGCAUAGGUUAUUUGCAAGUGCAUUUUAUAUCGGGGAGUUGAGUAUCCAUGGAUUGGUACCUGAGAGGGUCCUGGAAUCACUUUCUAGAUACCGAGGGACAAUUCUAUAUGUAACUUAAUGUAUUUUUUUAUUGAGGUGAAAUUCACAUAAUACAACUAACCGUUUUAGAGGAAUCUUUCAGCAACACUUAGUGGCUCACACUGCUCUGCAGUCACUGCCCUACCUAUAUCAAAUUUGAAAACGUUUUCAUCUCCUUGUUCUUGCUGCCUGCAGCCCCUGGCAGCUUCCCAUCUGAGUUGUGUUGGUAGAUUUACUUAUCCUGAGUAUUUUAUAUAAAUAGACUCACAGGAUACGUGAUCUUUUGUUUCUGGCUUCCAUCACUUAGCAUGAUGUUUUUAAGACUAGUCAGCAUUGUAGCAUGUGUUAGUACUUUGUUCCUUUGUGUAGUGGAGUAAUUAAUAUUACACUGUAUAUGCUACAGUUUGUUCACCCACUCACCUGUUGAUGAGUAUCUGGGCCGUUUUUCUUCAGACAGUUGGGAAUGACAAUUUUUUUUUUUUAAUUUUGAGAUGGAGUCUUGCUCUGUCACCCUGGCUGGAGUGCAGUGGCACGAUUUUGGCUUACUGCAGCCUCCACCUCCUGGGUUCAAGCUGUUCUCCUGCCUCAGCCUCCCAAGUAGCUGGGAUUACAGGCAUAUGCCACCAUGCCCGGCUAAUUUUUUGUUUUUUUAGCAGAGACGGGGUUUCACCAUGUUGACCGGGCUGGUCUUGAACUCCUGACCUUGUGAUCUGCCCACCUUGGCCUCCCAAAGUGUUGGAAUUACAGGUGUGAGCCAUCGUGCCUGGCCGGCACAGUAUUUUUUUACCCGAUGGUUCUAGCAUCUGCUGAUGAUUCUUGCCUGAAUAAGUUAUUACUAUGAUAAGUAUAAAAUGAAGAUCUUGUAUUUUUGUCUUUCUGCGACAUUUAUCAGAAGGAAUUCUCCUGUGAAGAAGACUUUCUGUGUGUUUGUAUAGUAUUAAUUUCUUUUUUUAAAAAUCUGAUGGGUAUAUAGUAGGUGUAUAUAUUUAUCAGUCUGGACUUGGGGAUUCUUUUCAAAGUCAGUAUAAAUAAUUUAUUCCUAUUUUUCAUUUCUGUGCUCAAAUUGUGCCAGUAUUGCCAGUGGUGCCUGUCCCUGUUCACACGUCCUGUCAGUGUUGUGCGAGUCAGUAGCGUCCUGGGUGGUUGGGUAUGUAAGGGUUGUUAACCACUGUGUGCCUCAUUACCGUGAUCUAACAUUUCAGGUUUUUGAGGUCUGUUUUUUGGUAAUGCCCUACUUCUUUUUCUUUCUCCUAUACAUUGCUUUGAUUCAUAUCUCCCUACCUUUUUCUUAUUGCUUCUAAAUUUGCUGUGGUUUGGAACGUGGAUUUCGCAAACCUGAAAUGAUGUCAGGUUAAGGGUGACUGGUGUUAGUUACGGCCCUGCAGUGGGGACAGGAGCUGGGCUUGGGGUGCCCCUCAAGAUGAGGAGGAGGACGUAAGGGGAAUAUCCUCAUAGCUUACAGGGUUUUGGCAGUUGAGAUUGUGGGCUGAGUUUUCCUAUGGGGAGCUAGUUUUGAACUUGAAUGAAGUCCCGUUUGGGGGAAUUGAAAGAAUGAAACUGAUCCUCUAGAGUUGAACUCUCUGUCCUUCCUCCAGUAGCUGUUCCGGGGGGAGCCUUUGCUUGACUGUUUCCUCCGAGCACCCCUGUCCUGUCACACACCGCCCACAUCUCCACUUCUUUGAA